UUAACGACAAACAACGAGUUUAUAAUUUUCCAAUACAAGAUAGAAGCUUAUAAAAAGCGUGAAAAUGGUUACACAUUUUUCCAAAAUAUUGUUAUGGAUAACUGUUCUUUAUUUUAAAGCAUUACCAUGUGUAUCACAAAGUAGUUUCCGAGGAACGUAUUAUUCCGGCAAUUAUAAUUCCGAAAAUGACGAGACUGAUUACAAUGCAGGAGCAUCUGAUUCUGUACAUGGUCCGGGAUCCACAGUCAGGCGUUUGAUAUAUGCAGUAAUAGUAACAGUCUGUGGCUUAUUUCUUUCUGGAUUUAUAUUCUUCUUAAUAAAACUGUGCAGUCGUAAUUAUAUACUACAAAGAAGAGAAAAUAGAAGGAACAUAAUGAUGUUACCUCUAAAUGAUAUCGACGAACAGUAACAAAACUGGCGAAAGAGUAAUGAUAGAGAAGUUCUUGAUAGCAGUUCUGUACUAACUUUCUUUACAACUUUGGAAGACUCGGAAAUAUUAAAAGCGUUCAAAUGUA
Long non-coding RNA from Mytilus californianus (California mussel), 515 nucleotides. RefSeq lists it as uncharacterized. The record is from RefSeq and is a predicted model, not a curated record. NCBI's taxonomy places the organism in Eukaryota, Metazoa, Mollusca, Bivalvia, Mytilida, Mytilidae. The transcript is spliced from 4 exons.